CCUACGGGAGGCUGCAGUAGGGAAUAUUGCUCAAUGGGGGAAACUCUGAAGCAGCAACGCCGCGUGGAGGAUGAAGGUUUUCGGAUUGUAAACCCCUUUUGUUAGAGAAGAUAAAGACGGUAUCUAACGAAUAAACCCCGGCUAACUCCGUGUCAGCAGCCGCGGGAAUACGGAGGGUGCAAGCGUUACUCGGAAUCACUGGGCGGAAAGAGCGCGUAGGCGGGAUAGCAAGUCAGAUGUGAAAUCCUAUGGCUUAACCAUAGAACUGCAUUUGAAACUGUUAGUCUAGAGUAUGGGAGAGGUAGGUGGAAUUCUUUGUGUAGCGGUAAAAUCAGUAGAGAUCAAGAGGAAUACUCAUUGCGAAGGCGACCUGCUAGAACAUAACUGACGCUGAUGCGCGAAAGCGUGGGGAGCAAACAGGAUUAGAUACCCCAGUAGUC
This 440-nucleotide ribosomal RNA is filed under the name uncultured bacterium. RNAcentral's name for it is "partial 16S ribosomal RNA". It matches the Rfam family "Bacterial small subunit ribosomal RNA", at positions 338 to 795 of the family's 1533-position model. The record is from RNAcentral.